RNAcentral lists this small nucleolar RNA (106 nucleotides) under Theobroma cacao (cacao). Its description in RNAcentral is "Plant small nucleolar RNA R71". It matches the Rfam family "Plant small nucleolar RNA R71". From Rfam's summary of the family: R71 is a member of the C/D box family of snoRNAs containing the C (UGAUGA) and D (CUGA) box motifs. Multiple nearly identical copies of this snoRNA have been identified in Arabidopsis, and it is thought to function as a 2'-O-ribose methylation guide for 18S ribosomal RNA. Lineage: Eukaryota; Viridiplantae; Streptophyta; Magnoliopsida; Malvales; Malvaceae. The record is from Rfam by way of RNAcentral.
AGACUAUGAUAAGGACAACGUUGAAAUAAUUCUUUGUAUCUUUCCCAAGCUUCGUACAAUGAUUAAGAAUCUUGUUGCAUAAAUGAUGUGAUAUCAUUCCUCAUUU